Molecule: ribosomal RNA, 6093 nt
Filed under: Nectria cinnabarina
Lineage: Eukaryota; Fungi; Ascomycota; Sordariomycetes; Hypocreales; Nectriaceae
Description: 16S ribosomal RNA
Rfam family: Bacterial large subunit ribosomal RNA (bases 2386-3019)
Source: RNAcentral
AGCUAUUAAAUAAAUACAUGUUUUACUAGAUAUAUAAAUUAUAACUAUAAAUUAUAUAAGUAUAAAAAGAAAUUAUUAUAGAAUUUAAGCUGUAUACUAAAGAGAAUUAUUCAUAUAUAUAAGUAUAAUUACUUAUAAUUAUAUAAACUCUAAGAGAAAUUUUUUAAUAAACGAAGUGAACUGAAAUAUCUUAGUAACUUUAGGAAAAUAAAUCAAAAGAGAUUCUAUGAAUAGCGUGAGCGAAAAUAGAGAAGCCUAAUAAGUAAAAUGGUAUAUAAACUGUUUAAAUUAAAUGGGGAACCUUCCUCAAAGGCUAAAUAUAGUAUACAAGCGAUAGUGAAAAGUACCGUGAGGGAACUAAAAGAAAAAUAGUAAUUUUAUAAGCAGUUCGGAAAUAAUAAAAGUUAGAACGUACCUUUUGCAUAAUGGGUCACCAAGUUAACAUUAGAUGCGAGAUUAAACGUAGUUAAACCGAGCGUUAAAAUAACGGAAAAGUGUCUAAAGUUAGACCCGAAGCCUGGUGAUUUUACCAUAAUCAGGAUUAUAAAAGUCCGAACGGGUUAUUGUAGCAUAAAUAUCCGAAGAAUUAUGGUAGGUGUAGUGAAAGACAACACUGACUAGGAUAGCUGGUAAAGAAUAAAGAUGUAAGCAAUCUUUAAUGGCCAGUAUGUAGAAAUGAACUUUCUGCAAUAAACCAUCAAAUUGACGGGGAAGCCCUAAAGCAAUCUAAACCAAGCAGAUGUGGUAACAUGUCUGUGGCACAGGUAAUGACUCGUGGUAUGGUAAAAUAUAGAUUGAUAACGUAAGUUAAUGGGUAAUCCGCAGCCAAGCACCGACUACUGUUAAUUCAGUAAGGUGUGCAGUUCAUCGACUAAAUGUUGGUUGGCGCAAGCCUAAGAUAUAGUCAAACCUUAUCCGAAAGGAUACAGAACAAUAAAUACAAACACUACUCAAGUAUAGACUAAGAGGAAUAAAAAUAUAUAAAAAAAAAUAUGAAAACAAUAAAAGAAUUGAAUGUAACACCCAUAAUUAUUUAUAAUAAUUGUGAUUUAGAUAAAGUAAAAAUACUAAAUGAUAAUAGAAAUCAAGGAGGUAUUUAUUGUUGAAUAAAUAAUAUUAACGAUAAAAUUUAUGUAGGUAGUUCUGUGAAUCUAACCGAAAGAUUUUAUAAAUAUUAUAGUGUUAAGCAUUUAACUAUGCGUAAUACACCUAUUCACAAUGCUAUAUUAAAAUAUGGAUACAGUAAUUUCUCUUUAGCUAUAUUGGAAUAUAUAGCGGAUAAAGGAGAAAUUAUAGGUAAAGAACAAUAUUAUUUAGAUUUAUUAAAUCCUAAUUAUAAUGUGCUAGAAGUAGCUGGUUCAACAUUGGGUUAUAAACAUACAGAAGAAACCUUAAAAGGUUUUAAAGAACGUAUACUUAGUGAGGAAGCUAGAAACAACUUAUCUAUAGCAGCUACUGGAAGAAUAUUAUCUGAAGAAGUUCGAGAGAAAAUCUCUGAAAAACGUAAAGGUAUAAAACUUACAGAAGAAACACGUGCAAAGAUUUCAAAGUCAGCUAGUGACCUUAUAGGUAUAAAAAUCGAUGUUAUUAACAUCGAAACAAACAAAAAAUUAUCUUUUGAUAAUUUAACUAGUGCAGCUAAGUAUAUUAAUGUUAGUAGAACAGCUGUAGCUAAAGCUUUAAGAAAUAGUAAAUUAAUAAAAAAUAUUUACUUGAUUAAAGAAAAAUAGUAGUAGUAGUAUUUAUUGUUUGUUAAAUGGAUAAUUAAGUAUUUAUAGGUAUACUUAUUAUUUAGGGAGAAGGACUUCAGCUUUACCUGUAUUUUUUUUUACUAAUAAUAAUUAAAUCAGGUAGAAGAAGUAGAUUUGUUUCUGCGAAACCUAUAAUAGUAGGCAAUUUAAGUAUAAUAUCUUAGCAGGUACAGAAUUUAAUCUCAGACAAGACAUAUAAAAUGUUUUAUUUUGUACAAAUUGGGGGAUCAUGAAGAUUUUAUCAGUGAGUAUGCAGACUCGGAAUGGCAAAGAUAUAUCUUAAAUUAUCAGACAUAGAAUGAUAAGGUUGUAUGUCAAAAGGGAAACAGCCCAGAACAAGAGUUAAGGUUCCUAAAUUAUUAGUUGAGUGAAAUUAAGAAGGUUUUUAUUAAAGUCGACAAGGAGAUAGGCUUAGAAGCAGCCAUAAUUUUAUGACCUCGUAACAGAGCGCUUGUUAAGUUUUAAAAGCAUCGAAAAUUUAACGGAUCUAAACAAUAUACCGAAACCUUGUCCAUAAUACAUUAUAAUAAAAAUGUUUAUUAUAAUUUAAUGGGGUAGCAGAACGUUGAGCUAAAUUAGGAUUUUUAUUUUUUAAAUGAAAUUAUAAUAAUUUAACUCAAGUGAUAAUGGUGACAUGAGUAACUAAAAGAAAAUUUUCCGCCUUAAGCUUAUGGAUGUAAUUAAGUAACGGCCUCUAAGUUUAUAUUAUCUAAAGAUUUAAACGAUGAGAUAAUCUUUUUUACUAAGGACAACAUUUCAAGUGGGAAAUGUGCUGGAAAAAUAGUAAUAUGUUUAUUUAAGGACUGUGCAUACUACGUAGCGCAGCUCUAAAUAAAUGAAAAGUAACCGUACCUAGAAACUGAAACAAGUAAGCUAGUAGAGAAUACGAAGGCGUAAAUGAGCUAACAAUCAUAAAGGAACUCGGCAAAUUCACUACCGUAACUUCGGGAUAAGGAGAGCUCAUUCUUCUUGAUUAAUAUCAAGUAAAGAUGAAGAAGCAUGAAAUAGUGUUGUACGACUGUUUAAUUAAAACACAGCACUUUGCUGAAAGAUUAAAAAUCUAAGUAUAGAGUGUGAUGUCUGCCCGGUGCCGGCUGGUUAACAGAUAUAAUUAAAUAUACUAAUAUUUGAUGUUGACGGAAACCCCGGUUAAAGGCGGCCUUAACGUGAGGGUCCUAAGGUAGCAAAAUGCCUUGGCCGUUAAAUGCGGUCUUGCAUGAAUGAUGUAACGAUACAACAGCUGUCUCUAUGAUUGACUCAGUGAAAUUGGAAUAGCUGUGCAGAUACAGUUUACCUCUAGUUAGACGAGAAGACCCUAUGCAGCUUUACUGUCACUAAUUAUAGAGUAUGAUAAACAAUUUUCAGAUUAUAAGGUUAUUGACAAAUAUGACAAUGAGAAUCCUUUAUUUUUUUUUCAUAUGAAUGAAUUGAUUUAGUAUUAUGGGUAAUUAACUCAUUUUAAAAUCAACCUAAUUCAGCUUAUUAUUUUUUACAGGGAAACCUGUAAAAUAAAUAAGUACCCUUUGGUAAGGAACUAUCGUUAGAGGACAGUUUAUGUGGGGCACAGACCCUGUAAAGAGUAAACAGGAGUGUCUAAUAAUUUAUAAUUAUUUUGUUUGCGAUUUUGAGUAGUUUAACUAUUUUUAAUCAUAUAAAAUUAUUUAUGUGUACACUCUAUAUCCCGGUAUUUACCGGGAUCAGAAGUACGUAUACAUAUUUAAAUAUAGGUAGGAUUUUCACUAUAUAGAAAUUAGAGAUAAUUAAAAAUAUUAUGAAUAAUUCUAAUAUUUUUUAACUAUUAUUAAUAAUAGUUAUGUUUUAAAUAUCUAAAAAGCUCAACGGCUAAAUCUUGCCUUACUGUUUGAUUAUCUACAAAUCUUACAGUUGCGUAAGCAGGGCAUAGGAUCACAAGAUGCAACAAGGAAAGAUCUUGGAUUAUUGGAAAAGCUACGCUAGGGAUGUUUGUCCUUUAAUAUUUUAUUUUACAUAAGAUAAUUAAUAAUAUAUUGGGUUAAUUUCAAAAAUUACUAACCUUAGUAAAUUUGAAGCGAAAUUUAUCUUAGCAUAAAUUUUAAGAUAAAAACGUUCAACGACUAUAAGGUGAGUUAUAUGCAAUAAACAAUAAUCCUUUUUAACACCCAACAUUUUUAAUAUAUAUAUAUUUAGUAGUUUCGGAGAAACUCCGCAAGCUCAGAAAAAAAGAAAAUAAAACAAAUGAAAUUUGCACCUGAAAUGAAUAAUAUCUUGCUUCGUCAGAAAAUUUUUAAUAAUAAUCUAAAAAAAAAUAGUAAAACAAUACUUUUAAAGAAAAAAUUAGGUGAUGUAGGAAUAAUAAAAUAUUUACCUUCAUUUUCUAAAGAAUGAAAAAAUACUAUAUAUUCUUAUAAUAAAAAUACAUUAAAAAAUAUACCUGUUAAUGAUUUAAAUAUUAAUAAAAUAAUUCAAGGUUAUUUUAAUUUGUAUUUUAAAGACAACAAAUAUACAGAAUCUAAAUUUAUAUUACUUAAAAGAAGACGUAAUUUUUUACGAAGAAUACACGUAAGUAAUGCUGAAAUUAAGCAUACUAAUAAUAAAGCUAUAAUUACUUUAUAUACUAUAAAUAGAGAAAAAAAUACAUUAAAAAAAAAAUACUUAAAAAUAAAUAAAAAAAUAAGUAAAAAUUUAAUAGUAAAACGUUAUUAUUUAUUAUAUAAAAAAAAUAUACACAAAAUUUAUAAUAUACUAAAUAAAUAUAAAGAUGAAGGCGCAAGCUCCCUUUUUAUAAAUGAUAUAAUAAGAAAAAAAAAAUUUAUAAAAUAUAAAUUACAAUAUUUAAAUAAGUUUAUAAAAUUAAAAAAUCUUUACCUAAAAAAAAUUUGAGGUGUUAUUCUUAAUAAAUAUACGAGAAAAUAUCUUAAAUUAUUAAGAAGAUAUGAUUUAUUAUAUUCUCUUAAUCAAUAUAAAUUUAAUAAAUUAGUGUUUUUACCUGUAUUAAGUAAUAUACUAAAUAAAAUUAUAGGAAAAAAAAUAGAAUAUAAUAUAAUUAAUUUAAAAUCUAUUGCAUAUAAUACAGAUCUUUUUACUAAUGCUUUAGCAUUAAAAUUAAGAAAAAAAAGAAUAAAUUACAUAAAUUCUAUGUUUAGUAUUUUAAACAGAGCAUAUUUACCUAACAUCAAUACAAUUAAAGAAAGAUCUUUAAUAAAAGGUAAUAAAAAAAUUGAUCUUUUCCACGAUAAAUACAAAGAUUUAAAAAUUAUUUCUAAUAUAAACAAUAAUAAUAAUCUAUCAAGAUUAUUAGAUGGAAUAUAUCCUACGAGCCCCGGUUUCGAGUUUUUAAAAGGGGCUAGCGUUAGCUCGAGUUUUUUAAAAAAAACGACAGAACUUGUUUCAAGACCGGAGCGCGAGCCUUUGGCUACUAAUAAAGAAAUCCAUAAUAUAAUAUACGAUUCUAUUGGAUAUAAAAAUAUGGGAGGUAUAAGAUUAGAAGUUAAAGGUAGAUUAACUAAACGUUAUAGAGCCGAUAGAUCUAUUUAUUCAUUAAAAUGAAAAGGUGGAUUAAGAAAUAUAGAUUCUUCUUUCAAACGUUUAAGUUCAGUUUUAUUUAGAGGUAAUUCUAAAUCAAAUGUUACUUAUUCCAUGGCUAAAUCAAAACGUCGUAUAGGAGCCUUUGCAGUAAAAGGUUGAAUAGGUGGUAAAUAAAUAUUAAAGAAAAUCUAAAAUAUAUAUAUAAUAAAAAUGAAGACAUAGUCUGAACCAUUUUGAAAAAAAUGGAAAUACAAUAUUAUGAUAACAUAUAGAACAGGCUAAUUUGCGCAAGAGUGUACAAAAUGAGUGCGCGGUUUGGCACCUCGAUGUCGGCUUAACUUAUCCUCAUGGAUGCAGGAACUAUGUAGGGUGCGACUGUUCGUCGAUUAAAAAGUUACAUGAGCUGGGUUAAAUACGUCGUGAGACAGUAUGGUUUCUAUCUUCUAGAGGGAAUUAGAAUAAAAUAAGAACUAACUUUUGUACGAAAGGAACAAGAAGAAUUUAACUUGUAAAAGGGUUAAAUAAUAGUUACUAAUCUAUGGUUUACCUGUUGUCUAUGUGCCCAAAUAUUAAGUAUAUAUAUCAUGAGAAUGUUAUAUAUAUCUGUAUUUUUAUACAUAGGGAUGUUUCUUUCACUAAGAUAAAUAUAUAGCAUAGGCACGGCAGGAAAGCUAAGUUAGUUAAAGAUAAGUGCUGAAAGCAUAUAGGCACGAAGCUUAUCUUAAGAUAUUUCUUAAAUAUGCGUAAAAUAUUAUUACGAAUUAAUUAUAGGCUUUAUCCGUACUAAUCUCGAGAUUUUUAAGAAUAAAGUACUAAUUUCAUAAAUAACUAUUUAUAA